GAGACCCAAUAUCCGUCCGGAAAUACUUGUCAUCAAAAUGGAUGAAAAUGAAUGUAUCUAGAACUAAAAUACAUCUAGAUACAUCCAUUUCAAUGACAAGUAUUUCCGGACGGAGGGAGUA
Molecule: non-coding RNA, 121 nt
Organism: Triticum urartu
Lineage: Eukaryota; Viridiplantae; Streptophyta; Magnoliopsida; Poales; Poaceae
Source: Rfam